AGAGUUUGAUCCUGGCUCAGGAUGAACGCUGGCGGCGUGCCUAAUACAUGCAAGUCGAACGAGAAAGAGGAAGUCUUCGGAUGGACUCUGGAGAGUGGCGCACGGGUGAGUAACACGUAGAUGACCUGCCCCGGUGAGGGGGAUAACCGUUGGAAACGACAGCUAAUACCCCAUAAGCUCACGGUUUUCAGAAAGCUGUGAGAAAAGGUUCCGGCGCUUCGGGAGGGGUCUGCGGCCCAUCAGCUGGUUGGUAGGGUAACGGCCUACCAAGGCGAAGACGGGUAGGGGGCCUGAGAGGGUGGUCCUCCACACGGGAACUGAGACACGGUCCCGACUCCUACGGGAGGCAGCAGUAAGGAAUAUUGCCCAAUGGACGCAAGUCUGAGGCAGCAACGCCGCGUGCCCGAAGAAGGUCUUCGGAUCGUAAAGGGCUUUUCUGUGGGAAGAGAAAGGACAGUACCGCAGGAAUAAGUGUCGGCUAACUACGUGCCAGCAGCCGCGGUAAAACGUAGGACGCAAGCGUUAUCCGGAUUUACUGGGCGUAAAGCGCGGGCAGGUGGCAGGCCAAGUUGGAUGUGAAAGCUCCCGGCUCAACUGGGAGAGGCCAUUCAAGACUGGUCGGCUGGAGGGCAGCAGGGGGGGGCGUGGAAUUCCGGGUGGAGUGGUGAAAUGCGUAGAGAUCCGGAGGAACACCAGAAGCGAAGGCGGCGCCCUGGGCUGCACCUGACACUGAACCGCGAAAGCGUGGGUAGCGAACGGGAUUAGAAACCCCGGUAGUCCACGCGGUAAACGAUGUCAACUGGGUGUUGGGGGGGGGUAAAAGCUCUCAGUGCCGAAGCAAACGCGAUAAGUUGACCGCCUGGGGAGUACGGCC
Molecule: ribosomal RNA, 874 nt
Filed under: uncultured bacterium
Lineage: Bacteria
Description: bacterial SSU rRNA
Rfam family: Bacterial small subunit ribosomal RNA
Source: RNAcentral